AAAACAAACUUUUAUAACAUAUCGCAGGGAAACCGUAUAUAGCGGUAGACACCGAGUGUCAGCAUAAUAAGAGAGGGUGUCCAGGUGUGUAAAAUACACCUGAAGCAAGGGCCGGGCAAGACCGGGGCCAGCCGCCGCGGUAACACCGGCGGCCCGAGGGGGGAUCGUCAUUAUUGGGCCUAAAGGGUCCGUAGCCGGUUUGGUCAUCCUUCCGGAAAAUCUGAUAUCUCAACUAUUAGGGAGGGGGGGGAAUACUGCCGGGCUGGGAACCGGGAGAGGUAAAAGGUACUACGGGGGUGGGAGGGAAAUCUUGUAAUCCCUGUGGGACCACCUGGGGGGAAGGGUUCUUACCAGAGCGGGGUCAACGGUGAGGGAAAAUUCUGGGGCCCCGGACCCGGAUUAUAUACCCGGUUAUUCCCACCCGUAAACUUGCCCGCUGGGGGUCAGGCAUGGGGCCCCGUGUUUGGUGCCCCCGGAAGCCGUAAACUUAACCAUUUGGGAGGGCGGGCGCAGGGUUGAAACUUAAAGAAAUUGUCUCUAAAAGGGCGAAUUCGCGGCCGCUAAAUUCAUUCGCCCUAAAAAGAAUGAUUACAUUCCCUGGCCGUCUUUUUACA
This 614-nucleotide ribosomal RNA is filed under the name uncultured Methanosarcina sp. Its description in RNAcentral is "partial 16S ribosomal RNA". It matches the Rfam family "Archaeal small subunit ribosomal RNA", at positions 343 to 1362 of the family's 1478-position model. The record is from RNAcentral. Lineage: Archaea; Methanobacteriati; Methanobacteriota; Methanomicrobia; Methanosarcinales; Methanosarcinaceae.